CAACCAGAGUUCAAAUCCAGCCUUUGCUAAUCACUUGGCUGAUGACUUUCAGAAAUCUGCUUAACCUUCCUAAGACCUCGGUUUCCUUAUUUGCAAAAUGGGAUAAUAACCCUUCAAGUGAAAUAAGGUGUCCCAUUCAGAGCAUCCAAGCUAAUGGACAGUUAAGGAAAUGACCCAACAGCUGGCAGGCCUCCCCUGCUGUUGCCAAUAUUGUUUUCAUGCUCCAGGCGGUGCUGAAUUAUAACACACGCGCAGCAAAACUAGCACAGAAGCCCCACGUCCACCACUCUCCGCCCCUCCAAACUCUAAGACAAGCGUGGCUCCACUAAGUGUCUUAGGCCGCGUAAUGCAGAGCCUCUCAACUGGCAGCAGUGUCAACGUUCCCACCUACAGCCCGUGAGGUAGGCAGAGCAUCUAUCAUCACUAUCACCCUCAACACCAUCAUCAUCAACAUCAUCACCAGCUUACAGAUGAAAACCCUGAGGUUCCAGGAGACACAGGGACAACUCGGCUUCCGGCAGAACUGCGAUGAGAUAAAUGCGGGCUCCUGAACCCAAACCUGAACUCUUUCCUCUGAGCUGACGGCUCCAUGAUGGCAGCAGGGCCACAGCACAUGGCUAUGGGUGUCACCAACCUCAGCAAUGAGACGGCUGCACCUUGGUUUGGGAGUGCCCUGUAGGUAAAAUGCUCUCCUAGACACUGUAGGAAAGGCCAAGGUCAACGGUCUGAUUCGGGGACCUUACAUGUCAAAUUCCCUGGGGCCUGGAGCACGAUCACAUGUUCCGUGUGUUUCUUUUCAGAAGGGGUUUUGGAUCUGCAUUUAGAGAGAACAGUCUGAGACUAGAGAGGGCAGAAGCAUUUCAAGAAGAAGAAAGUCUCACCUAGGUUUCUGUUUGUUUGUUUUCUCAUGGCAGGUGGACAUGAGAAAUAAAGCAGUGGGGGAGGGAAAGCAAGGGUGGACU
Long non-coding RNA from Orcinus orca (killer whale), 962 nucleotides. RefSeq lists it as uncharacterized. The transcript has 4 exons. The record is from RefSeq and is a predicted model, not a curated record. NCBI's taxonomy places the organism in Eukaryota, Metazoa, Chordata, Mammalia, Artiodactyla, Delphinidae.